GAUGAACGCUGGCGGCGUGCCUAAUUCAUGCAAGUCGAGCGAACGGACGAGAAGCUUGCUUUUCUGAUGUUAGCGGCGGACGGGUGAGUAACACGUGGAUAACCUACCUAUAAGACUGGGAUAACUUCGGGAAACCGGAGCUAAUACCGGAUAAUAUUUUGAACCGCAUGGUUCAAAAGUGAAAGACGGUCUUGCUGUCACUUAUAGAUGGAUCCGCGCUGCAUUAGCUAGUUGGUAAGGUAACGGCUUACCAAGGCAACGAUGCAUAGCCGACCUGAGAGGGUGAUCGGCCACACUGGAACUGAGACACGGUCCAGACUCCUACGGGAGGCAGCAGUAGGGAAUCUUCCGCAAUGGGCGAAAGCCUGACGGAGCAACGCCGCGUGAGUGAUGAAGGUCUUCGGAUCGUAAAACUCUGUUAUUAGGGAAGAACAUAUGUGUAAGUAACUGUGCACAUCUUGACGGUACCUAAUCAGAAAGCGACGGCUAACUACGUG
Molecule: ribosomal RNA, 497 nt
Filed under: uncultured bacterium
Lineage: Bacteria
Description: partial 16S ribosomal RNA
Rfam family: Bacterial small subunit ribosomal RNA
Source: RNAcentral